GAGUGGGUUCGAGAGGUCCAUUCACAUGAGGAGAAAACUGAGGAUGCAACCAGAAAGGUCUGAGCACGGGUUUUCACCGGCCCAAAGCGGCGGGGUGGGGGCGUUCCAGCUCCAGGUCCCACCUCCACUUCCACACCUGCACCCCGGGCCGGGGUAGGUGGGUCAGGAGGGUCUGGACUGAGCCGGGGUACGGGGAAGAGGCCGUGCUCCCGGGAAAUCGGAACGCAGUGGCCCCAGGGGAGGAGGGCUGCAGGAGGGCGGGGCGCGCGGCUGCGAAGAGGAAGCCGAAAGGAGGGUGGCUGCGAAGCGGUGCCGCGCGGCCGGGGACUCCUCUCCGUACCACGCCCGAGCGCCGAGGCAGGGGAGGAAGGAUCCCACAAGCCACAGGAGACAGAACUUACUCCGCGGUCCUCCUCGGAGAGGAAGUCGGGGCCGUCGUCCAGGCCUUCCUGCAGACAGGGUGACACCAGUGGAGUAUCUCAGAUGGUCACCGACAAUCUCUUAAGACCCCAGAGGCUACUCAUCGAGAACUUCAGUGGAAGCUCAAGUCAAAGAGCCUGGGGAAAAUAUGGGAGAGAAACUGCCUAAAACAUGACAAUCAUAAGUGUAUUCCUUAAAAUUGUCAAAAUCAUGGAAAUAAAAGGAAAGACAGAAAUUGUCAUAGACCAGAGGAGACUGGGGAAACAUGACACCUGAAUGCAAUGUGGUAUUUAUUAGGUCCUGGAUCAGAGAAAGGACAUUAAUGGAAAAGCUGGCGAAAUCUGAAUAAAGUCCGGCGUUUGGAGAUAAAAGGAACGGGAAGCAAGCAGAGAGUUGGGGACCUCAUACCACCAAGAAAGCAGUGCUGGGAGCAGAGUGCAUCCUUUGGACUCGGGAUUCCAGCUCAGAGAAGCUCCUAGUCAAGGGGAAGAUUGAUGACAAGGACUUUUCUCCAGAGCUGACAGAGAGAGAAAGCCUUCCUCUGGAGGUGACACCCUGAAUUUGGACUUCUGAAAUACAUUUCUCUUUGUUAAAGCCAUCCACUUGUGGUAUUUCUGUUACAGCCGCACUAGAUGACUAAGACAGCACCUAACCACAACACUUACUUCUUUCAAGUCUGAAAUCAGUUUCACUGGCUGAAGUCAAAGCGUCAGCAGGGAUGGUUCCUUCUGGAGGCUCUGGUGGAAAAUCACUUUUUGUAUGUCUGGAAAAGUAUUUUACCUUUGUUUUUAAAAGAUAUUGCUGCUGGUUGUGGGAUUCUAGGUCGACGGUUUUUUUUCUUUUAUUACUUUAAAGAUGUUACUCCGUUAACUUCUGGGUUGUAUUGUUUUUGAAGGGAAGUCUACAGUCAUUCUAAUCUUUGUUCCUCUAUUAAUAAUGUAUCAGGGCAGUGGUGGUUCAGUGGUAGAAUUCUCACCUUCCAUACAGGAGACCUGGGUUUGAUUCUCAGCCAGUGCACCUCGUAUGCAGUCACCACCCAUCUAUCAGUGGUGGCUUAUGUGUUGGUGUGAUCGUUUCAGCAGAACUUCCAGACUAAGACAGAUUAGAAAGAAAGGCCUGAUAAUAUCUAUUCCCAAAAAUCAGCCAAUGAAAACCCUACAGAUCACAACAAUCUGAUCCGCAAACCAUUCGGGGAUGAUGCAGGACUGGAGUGUUUCUUUCCAUUGUGGAUGGGGUCACCAUGAAUCGGAAGCUGAUUCAACGGCAGCUAACAACUGCUUUUUUCAGGUAGGAUCAGUGCAGCCUUUAGGGUUAGUUUGAUUCCAUUACUGAGGCAAUAUCCUUCUCAAGACUCAACCGGAUGCCCUGUGUAUUAGGUUUCUCCACUCUGGUUUUUGAGGAUGUAAGCUAUUCUCAGUCAUGUGUGAGCUUCAGCAAUCUAUCUAGUUUUUUUUGAUGGUUCUUCCCCCAGCCUUGGUAGUUUCUUCACGUACAUGUGCCGAUCAGUACUCAGCUAAAGGCUUGAGGGGAACCCUGUAAGGUCUUUGGCACUCUCUGUCUCACUCUGUGCAGCCCUCUCUCUGGUACUUUGCCCUGCCAAUUCUAACCACAUUGGUCUUUUCAAAUUCUCAACUUUUGUCUUCUCAACGCAUGGAGACAUCAGGGCUCGAUCUGGGUUUCUGCUGGGGCAGUUGUGGGACUUAUCUCUUUUGCUUUCCUCCAGAAAUCACUCUCCUGUGCUGCCUAUCUUCCAGUGUCUAAAAACUCUUGGUUCAGUUAUUUUGUCUAGUUUUUCAGUUAAGGCAGGAGAGCAAAUCCAAUUCCUGUUACUCUAUCAGAAAGCGGAAGCCCCAGGAGCCACAUUCCAAUUACAGGUGCGCUAUUUUCCCUGAGCAAGUUAAUAUACCUCUCAGGUCUCAGUUUCUGAAAUGAUUUUGAAUGAUAUUUAUAUGUGCAUAGUACAAAUGUCAGCUGCAUGAUGUCCCAAAGUCCUCUUAAAUUCAAAUUACAUUUGCUUCAAACACCCACCUCUAGUGUUUCUGGGCAUACUCUGGAGCUUAGCUUUUUCUUGGUGUCCUCUGGUUCUGAGGUCUUAUUUCCAGCAACUCUCCAAUUCCACUGUUCAGUGUUUCUCCUCUCUUUUCCCCACUUUGUUUCCUCACUGGAGACUACCUCAAUUUCUUCUUGCCAAAGCACCUUACUGUACAUGAGCAUAUAUUUUUAAAGGAAUAGAAACAUGGAGGGAAUAACAAUCUGGGACAGCAUGACCAACAACGUAAAAUUGAAUUUUAACGUUUCUGAACUUAAAAAACCUGAUCAAUUCUGUUAUAGAGAAAUCAUCCCAUACCUCUUCCAUUCAGGCCUUUUAGCAUUGUGCCAGACCUCUUUCAGCCUCGUCACUGGCCCAUAUGGUGCCUUUGUAGACAUUUAGAGAAAGGCAUCCCUGCUUUGGAGGCCUCACUAUUCACAAAGUUUGGGUCAGGUUUCAGCUCCAGUGUCCAACCCUGUUUCAGCCCCCUUCCUUAGCUUACUUGCCCUUAACCGCUCAAAUUUUCAUUCAUUUCCUGAAGAACAGUUUAGCUCGCUCUUUACUGGCUCCAGGCUAUCCAAGUUACUCUCAAAGGGCCUUAUCUUCAUAAUUAAUUUUACAAUGUGCUUCUAAACUUUAAUAGUUCUAUUUCAGGAAGGAACACUGCAGUUAGCUUUGGAUUUUUUCUCUCUCCUAUAUGCAUAUCAUAAUGAUGGUCAUGGUGAUAAUGAUGAUAAAGAUAAUAACAGUCCUUAAGUAAAUAUGCUUAAGUUAUUAUAUAAAAAGAAAAGUGGCCUUUUCCAGGAAAAUAAAUGGUCUUCUUUUCUUCCACAUGUAAGCAAUUGCAUAUUAUACCCCUAUUCACUACAGAAUAGAAACUACAGUCUCUAAAGUGCUUUAAGCUCUUGAAAUAAAAAAUGCUUAGCUCUGCAGACAUAUUUUGUAAGUGUUUAUGUUUGGCAGAAAGCCAGUAUAUUCUUGGAAGACAACAGGAUAUCAGCCCAGCUUUAUGAAGCAUAUAUAUUACCGGAGUCAUCACAUUCUCUAACAGACCACGGGGAAGCAAGAGACAUGGGGCAUGCCUUUGACAUAAUAUAUUUCUGCAAUUCUAAAUUGCAUUGACAGCAUUUGGGAGAAACAAAAAAGGCAGUGCCUUAAAUGUUUGCAGCAACUAUAACCUACAUCCUGAUUUCAAAAUUUUAAAAAUGAGAAAAAUAAAAGUGUGUCUGAGAAGUAGGAAAUAUAGAAGUAGCAAGUAUAGCACUUUCUGUGUGGGUCUUCUACAGCAUAUUCGUCUAUAUCCCGAAGAAAGUGUCAUUUCAAUAAUGUUGCUAAAUAAAUGCACAAUAAUCUUUUACAUAGAAACCAGAGAAUCUGUAUAAAUUAGGUAUACCAAAAAAAACCCAUUGCCGUCAAGUCGGUUCCGACUCAUAGCAACCCUAUAGGACAGAGUAGAACUGCCCCAUACGGUUUCCAAGGAGCACCUGGUGGACUUGAUCUGCCAACCUUUUGGUUAGCAGCCGUAGAUCUUAACCACUACCCCACGGUUUCCAAAUUAGAUAUAGGUUAAUUAAAUAGUCUGUUUCUGUAUGUUAUAAACUAGGAGAUACAAAGAUUUUGGACAGGAUAUGAAUAAUAGAGACCAAUCUCUCUCAGUUUCCUCAACUAUACAAUGGAUGAGAGGUUGGUAUAAAGAUUAAGUGGGAUAAUAUGUGCAAGGUGCUUAGGAAAGUGCCUAGAACGUAAUACUGUCCGCUACUGUGCAGAAAUUCAGAGAGAACUGCAAAGAGAAGAAUGGGGGUUUAUUUAUUGCUGGUACUUUUCAAUUCAAUUUCAGCAAAUAUUCAAUGACCCUCUACUUUGUGCUAAGAAUUGUGUUAAGAGCCAAUAUUGUUGUUGUUAGGUGCCGUCGAGUCGAUUCUGACUCAUGGUGACCCUAUACACAACAGAACGAAACACUGCCCGGUCCUGAGCCAUCCUUACAGUCAUUGUUAUGCUUGAGCUCAUUGUUCCAGACGCUGUGUCAAUCCACCUUGUUGACGGUCUUCCUCUUUUCCACUGACGCUGUACUCUGCCAAGCAUGCUGUCCUUCUCCAGGGACUGAUCCCUCCUGACAACAUGUCCAAAGUACGUAAGACACAGUGUCCCCAUCCUUGCUUCUAAGGAGCAUUCUGGUUGUACUUCUUCUAAGGCAGAUUUGUUCAUUCUUUUGGCAGUCCAUGGUAUAUUCAAUAUUCUUCGCCAACACCACAAUUCAAAGGUGUCAAUUCUUCUUCAAUCUUCCUUAUUCAUUGUCCAGCUUUCACAUGCGUAUGAUGCGAUUGAAAAUACCAUGGCUUGGGUCAGGCGCACCUUAGUCUUCAAGGUGACAUCUUUGCUCUUCAACACUUUCAAGAGGUCCUUUGCAGCAGAUUUACCCAAUGCAAUGCGCCCUUUGAUUUCUUGACUGCUGCUUCCAUGGCUGUUGAUUGUGGAUCCAAGUAAAAUGAAAUCCUUGACAACUUCAAUCUUUUCUCCAUUUAUCACAAUGUUGCUCAUUGGUCCAGUUGUGAGGAUUUUUGUUUUCUUUAUGUUGAGAUGCAAUCCUGACUGAAGGCUGUGGUCUUUAAUCUUCAUCAGUAAGUGCUUCAAGGCCUCUUCACUUUCAGCAAGGAAAGUUGUGCCAUCUGCAAAACGCAGUCCUCCUCCAAUCCUGAUGCCCCCUUCUUCUUCAUAUAGUCUAGGUUCUUGUACUAUUUGCUCAGCAUACAGAUUGAAUAGGUAUGGUGAAGUAACACAACCCUGACGCACACCUUUCCUGACUUUAAACCAGUCAGUAUCCCCUUGUUCUGUCUGAACAACUGCCCCUUGAUCUAUGUAAAGGUUCCUCAUGAGUACAAUUAAGUGUUCUGGGAUUCCCAUUCUUCGUAAUGUUAUCCAUAAUUUGUUAUGAUCCACACAGUCAAAUGCCUUUGCAUAGUCAGUAUAGGAGGAAAUAAAGAAGAGUGUUGAAAUUAUCUUGCAGUAGAGAGAGCAGAUGUGAUAUUGGGUAGAUUUAAUUUUAGAAAAUGAAUUUUGGAUUUAGACAUUGAGUAUAUUAUACUCAAAUUACUGAAUAUAUUAAACUUUAAAUGUUAAGUAUAUUAUGCUGCUCUUAAUAUAUAUAAAAAUUUAUUUAGUGUAAAAUGUUCUGUUUUAUAUAGAUGACAUAUAGAUAAUUUUAUAUAAGUAAUUUUGUAUUUGUUAAUAUAGCCAACCACAGGGAUGUUUUAGUUUUAAGUGGCACCAACCCUGGCUCCCCCAAGGCAAUUUAAGUAAAUGUGCUAACUGGAAUAGAGCCCUCACCUCCAAUUCUGUGCCUCCUGAGCAAAUGAAUCCAUUAAGAAUUAUUCUUUACAUCUGAAAUAGCAAACUUGGAGAUGAGAGUAGAAUUGCCCCGCAGGGUUUCCAAGGAGCACCUGGUAGAUUUGAACUGAUGCCUGUUUGGUUAGCUGGCAUAGCUCCUAAGCACUAAGUCACCAGUGUUUCCUCUAAGAUAUGGCAGGCCCUUAAUUCUGAUGACAAAGUAUGAAUGGCCUUGAAGGACACUUUAAGAAAAUUUGACUUAACCCUUGAUGUGUGUGAUAGCAGGUCUCCAAAAUGGCCCCAGUGAUCCUUGCCUCCUGGUAUUCAUGUCCUAGUGCAGUUCCACCCACAUUGAAUUAGGGCUGACAUUAUGACCAUAUUCAUCAGGGCUGGCAUAUGUGACCAAUAGAAUAUAGGAGAAAUGAUUAUGUGGGCUUUCCAAGGCUAGGUCAUAAAAGGCAUUUGGUUUGGCCUCUUGGGUUGCUUGCUCUGGGGAAAGUAGCCUUGUAGAAAGACCCAUGUGGAGACAAACUGAGGUACCCAAUCAACAGCCAACACCAAUUUGCCAGUCACAUGAGUGAAUCAUCUAGAAUAUGAAUCCUUGAGCCCCAGUCAAGCUUUCAGAUGCCUGCAGCCACAGCAAAAAUCUGAUUGUAUUUUCAUGAGAAACCCCAAACAAGAACUUCCUGGCCAUGUCCUCCCCAAAUUCCUGACCCAUGGAAACUGUGAGAGAUAACAAAUGACUGUUGCUAUUUUAAGAUUCUGAAUUUUGGGAUAAUUUAUUACUAAUACAAAAAGUAUGGAGGUCAUGUUAAAUCAUCGAAGAGUUUUAAGCAGAGGAGUAAAUGGUCAGACUUGUAUUUUAGAAAUAAUUCUGUCUGAAAUGUGUAAGUUGGAUAAAAGAGGUAGGAGUCAGGGAGACUAAAGGCAAGAGACUGCAACGUUAUUGCAGCACACAGGUAAGAUGUGAUAGGGACCAAAACAGAUUGAGUGGCAGGUAGGCUGGAGGUUAGAGAAAUGGAUCAAGAGAUGUUUAUAGAAGAUACGAGUGCCCCUAUUGGGUGAAUUGAUUGGCUCUGGCAGGAAAGGAAAGGACUAAAAUGAUUUUCAUGUUCUUUUUUUUUCUAGAAUCUAUGUAUAAAUUUCCCUGGUCUGACUACUUUCUGAAAAAAAUUUCAGUCUAAUUCUCAUCUUACUUUUCUAUCCAGCUCAUAUAUCUCCAUUUGAAGGUCUCAUUCCUUUUCAAGAUAAACCUGUUUUUAUCUAGUUGGAUUUUGUGGCUUUAUAAUAGGUACUAGCUAAAACUGUCUUCCCAUAAUUUGGGAAUGGGUGGGUGUGUGUUUUCUUUAAAGAGAUUGUUCUUUAAGAUGUUUUAUUAUUCUUUAAGAUAUUUUUCUCUUUAUUUAUUAACUUAUAUUAAAGAAUUACUAAAAAUGUUGUUUGUGUUUUAAAUGGUCUUUUAAACUUUUUAAACAAUACAUUUAAGACAUCAGUGAUGUAAUCUGAUUUUUAAGAGUCAGUCGACUUACUUUCACUAACUUUAAACUUAAACAUAGGCUCAUUAAGAAGUAAGCUAAGAAAAAACAGUAACCUCAGGCUCCUAAAGUUCUUUUUUUUUUUUUUAAGUUUUUGUCUUAGUUAUCUACUGUUGCUAUAACAGAAAUACCACACAAGUGGGUGGCUUUAACAAAGAGAAAUUUAUUCCUUCACAGUUUAGGAAGCUAGAAGUUCAAAUUCAGGGCACCAGCUGACAUUCUUUCUCUGUCAACUCUGGGGAAGGUCCUUGUCACCAAAUCUUCCCCUGGUCUAGGAGCUUCUCGGCACAGGGACCUGAGAAGGACACACUCUGCUCCUGGUUCUGCUUUCUUGGUGGUAGCAGGUCCCCUCCUCUCUGCUUACUUCUUUCUUUUAUAUCUCAAAAGAGAUUGACUCAGGAAAUCACCAAAUCAAUACCAUUCGCAGUAGCCCCCAAGAAGAUAAAAUACUUAGGAAUAAAUCUUACCAAAGUUGUAAAAGACCUAUACAAAGAAAACUACAAGGUACUACUGCAAGAAACUAAAAGGGAGCUACGUAAGUGGAAAAACAUACCUUGCUCAUGGAUAGGAAGACUUAACACAAUAAAAAUGUCUAUUCUACCAAAAGCCAUCUAUAUUUACAAUGCACCUUCGAUCCAAAUUCCAACUACAUUUUUUAAAUAAUUUUUUAAGUGAAAGUUUACAAAUUAAGUUAGUCUCUCACGUAAAAACUUAAAUACACCUUGCUACAUACUCCCAAUUACUCUCUCCCUAAUGAGACAGCCCACUCUCUCCCUCCACUCUCUCUUUCCAACUACAUUUUUUAAUGUGAUGGAGAAAAAAAAUCACCAACUUCAUAUGGAAGGGAAAGAAGCCCCGGAUAAGUAAAGCAUUAUUGAAAAGAAGAACAAAGUGGGAGGCCUCACUCUACCUGAUUUUAGAACCUAUUAUACAGCCACAGUAGUCAAAACAGCCUGGUACUGGUACAACAACAGACACAUAGAUCAAUGGAACAGAAUUGAGAACUCAGAUAUAAAUCCAUCCACAUAUGAGCAGCUAAUAUUUGACAAAAGCCCAGUGUCGGUUACUUGGGGAAAAGAUAGUCUUUUUAACAAAUGGUGCUGGCAUAACUGGAUAUCCAUCUGCAAAAAAAUAAAACAGGACCCAUACCUCACACCAUGCACAAAAACUAACUCCAAAUGGAUCAAAGAUCUAAACAUAAAGCCUAAAACGAUAAAGAUCAUGGAAGAAAAAAUAGGGACAACUCUAGGAGCGCUAAUACAUGGCAUAAACAGAAUACAAAACAUUACUAAAAAUGACAAAGAGAAACCAGAUAACUGGGAGCUCCUAAAAAUCAAACACCUAUGUUCAUCUAAAGACUUCACCAAAAGAGUAAAAAGACCACCCACAGACUGGGAAAAAAUUUUCAGCCACAACAUCUCCAACCAGCGCCAGAUCUCUAAAAUCUACAUGGUUCUGCUAAAACUCAACCACAAAAAGACAAACAACCCAAUUAAAAAUUGGGCAAAGGAUAUGAACAGGCACUUCACUAAAGAAGACAUGCAGGCGGCUAACAGAUACAUGAGGAAAUGCUCUCAAUCGUUAGCCAUUAGAGAAAUGCAAAUUAAAACUACAAUAAGAUUCCAUCUCACUCCAAUGAGCCUGGCAUUAAUCCAAAAAACACAAAAUUAAUACAUGUUGGAGAGGAUGUGGAGAGAUUGGAACACUUGCACGCUGCUGGUGGGAAUGUGAAAUGGUACAACCACUUUGGAAAUCUAUUUGGCGUUUCCUUAAAAAGCUAUAAAUAAAACUACCAUACAACCCAGCAAUCCCACUCCUCGGGAUAUAUCCUAGAGAAAUAAGAGCCUUUACACGAACAGAUAUAUGCACACCCAUGUUUAUUGCAGCACUGUUUACAGUAGCAAAAAGAUGGAAGCAACGAAGGUGUUCAUCAACGGAUGAAUGGGUAAAUAAAUUAUGGUAUAUUCACACAGUGGAAUACUACGCAUCGAUAAAGAACAGUGAUGAAUCUGUGAAACAUUUCAUAACAUAGAGGAACCUGGAAGGCAUUAUGCUGAGUGAAAUUAGUCAGUUGCAAAAGGACAAAUAUUGUAUAAGACCACUAUUGUAAGAUCUUGAGAAAUAGUUUAAACUGGAAAGAGCACAUUCUUUUGUGGUUAUGAGAGGGGGGAGGGAGGGAG
Loxodonta africana (African savanna elephant) is the source of this 9488-nucleotide long non-coding RNA. RefSeq lists it as uncharacterized. The record is from RefSeq and is a predicted model, not a curated record. NCBI's taxonomy places the organism in Eukaryota, Metazoa, Chordata, Mammalia, Proboscidea, Elephantidae. The transcript is spliced from 5 exons.